AUUAAUUUAGUAUCAUGUUAUUUUAUUUUUCUUUUUUCGUUAGCUCACCCAUUAACAUUUCGUUAAAUUAUAUACAAAAAAUUUAAGAUACCUCACCUAGAUUUAUCGAAUAUUCACUUUAAUAUCUUUUACUUUUAACUUUAUCACUUAUUUAACCAAAAAGAAUCUGACGAAAAAUAUAAAAUAAAAUCAUAGAGUACUAAAUUAAUAUAUUUUUAAAUCGUAAGGUAAUAAAAUAAAAAAUACAAAAUUUUAAAAAUAAUAUUUGAAGUUUACUUUUUUUUUGUUCUA
RNAcentral lists this long non-coding RNA (291 nucleotides) under Ananas comosus (pineapple). Its description in RNAcentral is "long non-coding RNA (ACOM_LNC041421)". The record is from RNAcentral. Lineage: Eukaryota; Viridiplantae; Streptophyta; Magnoliopsida; Poales; Bromeliaceae.